CCUACGGGAGGCAGCAGUGGGGAAUAUUGCGCAAUGGGCGAAAUCCUGACGCAGCGACGCCGCGUGAGGGAUGAAGGUCUUCGGAUCGUAAACCUCUGUCAGCAGGGAAGAACGGUCACUGUGCUAAUCAGCAGUGAAUUGACGGUACCUGCAAAGGAAGCACCGGCUAACUCCGUGCCAGCAGCCGCGGUAAUACGGAGGGUGCGAGCGUAAAUCGGAAUUACUUGGCGUAAAGCGCUCGUAGGCGGUAUGUCAAUUCAAGGGUGAAAUCCCCGCGCUGAACGUGGGAACUGCAUUUGAAACUGGCAAACUGGAGUGUGUAAGAGGAUAGUGGAAUGCCAGGUGUAGGAGUGAAAUCCGUAGAUAUCUGGAGGAACAUCAGUGGCGAAGGCGACUAUCUGGCACAUAACUGACGCUGAGGAGCGAAAGCGUGGGUAGCAAACAGGAUUAGAUACCCCGGUAGUC
This 465-nucleotide ribosomal RNA is filed under the name uncultured bacterium. RNAcentral's name for it is "partial 16S ribosomal RNA". It matches the Rfam family "Bacterial small subunit ribosomal RNA", at positions 338 to 795 of the family's 1533-position model. The record is from RNAcentral.